Molecule: transfer RNA, 73 nt
Organism: Ovis aries (sheep)
Lineage: Eukaryota; Metazoa; Chordata; Mammalia; Artiodactyla; Bovidae
Rfam family: tRNA
About the family: Transfer RNA (tRNA) molecules are approximately 80 nucleotides in length. Their secondary structure includes four short double-helical elements and three loops (D, anti-codon, and T loops).
Source: Rfam
UCCCUGAUGGUCCAGUGGCUAAGACUCGGCACUCCCAAUGCAAGGAGCUCUGGUUCGAUCCCUGGUCAGGGAA